UAGGGAAUCUUCGGCAAUGGACGGAAGUCUGACCGAGCAACGCCGCGUGAGUGAAGAAGGUUUUCGGAUCGUAAAGCUCUGUUGUAAGAGAAGAACGAGUGUGAGAGUGGAAAGUUCACACUGUGACGGUAUCUUACCAGAAAGGGACGGCUAACUACGUGCCAGCAGCCGCGGUAAUACGUAGGUCCCGAGCGUUGUCCGGAUUUAUUGGGCGUAAAGCGAGCGCAGGCGGUUAGAUAAGUCUGAAGUUAAAGGCUGUGGCUUAACCAUAGGACGCUUUGGAAACUGUUUAACUUGAGUGCAAGAGGGGAGAGUGGAAUUCCAUGUGUAGCGGUGAAAUGCGUAGAUAUAUGGAGGAACACCGGUGGCGAAAGCGGCUCUCUGGCUUGUAACUGACGCUGAGGCUCGAAAGCGUGGGGAGCAAACAGGAUUAGAUACCCUGGUAGUCCACGCCGUAAACGAUGAGUGCUAGGUGUUAGACCCUUUCCGGGGUUUAGUGCCGCAGCUAACGCAUUAAGCACUCCGCCUGGGGAGUACGACCGCAAGGUUG
Molecule: ribosomal RNA, 550 nt
Filed under: uncultured bacterium
Lineage: Bacteria
Description: bacterial SSU rRNA
Rfam family: Bacterial small subunit ribosomal RNA
Source: RNAcentral